UGGGGAAUCUUGCGCAAUGGGCGAAAGCCUGACGCAGCAACGCCGCGUGCGGGAUGAAGGCCCUCGGGUCGUAAACCGCUUUCAGCAGGGAUGAAACUGACAGUACCUGCAGAAGAAGCCCCGGCUAACUACGUGCCAGCAGCCGCGGUAAUACGUAGGGGGCAAGCGUUAUCCGGAUUCAUUGGGCGUAAAGAGCGCGUAGGCGGCUUGUUUAGUCAGAUGUGAAAACCGGGGGCUCAACCCGCGGCCUGCAUCUGAAACUGACAGGCUUGAGUCUGGUAGAGGAAAGUGGAAUUCCUGGUGUAGCGGUGAAAUGCGCAGAUAUCAGGAGGAACACCAGUGGCGAAGGCGGCUUUCUGGGCCACGACUGACGCUGAGGCGCGAAAGCUAGGGGAGCGAACAG
This 403-nucleotide ribosomal RNA is filed under the name uncultured bacterium. RNAcentral describes it as "bacterial SSU rRNA". It matches the Rfam family "Bacterial small subunit ribosomal RNA", at positions 355 to 775 of the family's 1533-position model. The record is from RNAcentral.